GAUGAAGAACGCAGCGAAAUGCGAUAAGUAAUGUGAAUUGCAGAAUUCAGUGAAUCAUCGAAUCUUUGAACGCACAUUGCGCCCGUCAGUAUUCUGGCGGGCAUGCCUGUUCGAGCGUCAUUACGCCCCUCAAGUCCCCUGUGGACUUGGUGUUGGGGAUCGGCGAGGCUGGUUUUCCAGCACAGCCGUCCCUUAAAUUAAUUGGCGGUCUCGCCGUGGCCCUCCUCUGCGCAGUAGUAAAACACUCGCAACAGGAGCCCGGCGCGGUCCACUGCCGUAAAACCCCCCAACUUUUUAUAGUUGACCUCGAAUCAGGUAGGACUACCCGCUGAACUUAAGCAUAUCAAUAAGCGGAGGG
Molecule: unclassified non-coding RNA, 358 nt
Filed under: soil metagenome
Description: partial contains 5.8S ribosomal RNA, internal transcribed spacer 2, and large subunit ribosomal RNA
Rfam family: 5.8S ribosomal RNA (bases 1-120)
Source: RNAcentral